UCUUAUUGCGAUCAUCGAUUUUUCUCUAUCUGUGUUUCUUUCAUGUUCUCCUUUUCUGAUUAGCCGCGUGCUUUAUUUGGACACUUUAUAUAGCAAAGGCGGGAACAUAUAGGCAUAGAAAAUGUAAAAUUAGGUGUCAAGCAAGCAAAAUUGUAUUCAUACAUAGUAGGUGGUAUUAACGAUUAGAGGUGGCAUAUGAGUUACUGCAAAUAAAAAGAAAAGGAAUAAAAAAUAAGACAAUACGUGACUUGAAAAAUAUUUAUUGACUUAUCCAUUUAUAGUGUUAGGACCUCUUUGGGAUCACAUGUUUGAGAAACAUGGGAUUAUAAAAAUCACAUGAAUCCCACAAAGUUUUCAAGUGCAAAACAAAGAAUUGUGAAAGAGCAAAAUUUUGCAAUAUUUGUCGUUUGGAUGGAUCGCCAAGAAAAAGAAACACAUAAAAAAUGUGUUCAUCCUACGUUAACAAGUUAAAAAGUUUUGAGUGGAUGUUUAAAUUCCUAUGCAAGUGAGGCAUACAAAACCAGUCCAUGGGAGAAAACAUAUGCAUGGGAGGAGGAAGAAGGCUAAGCUGGUCGGAAGGAGUUGGUGAGUCCACAAUGACGACGAGAGCUAGCACAAUCGAUAAAUUUUAUUAGAGGCAACUCUUAUUUGUGAAUGGCAUGACAAAACAUUGUUGGUUUUGAGAGCAUUCACAAUGCUUAGAGGCUUGCGCUAAGCCCCACGACCAGCCUCUAAGUUUAUCCCAAAACUCUAUAGUGUGUCAUUCCUCUAUCGUGGACCUUAUAUGAACCUAAAAAAAAUGUGUCAUGCUUCUCUUUCAUCACUUUUCUCUGCUACACUUGAUAUUACAUCAAUGAAAUGUAAUAUCUGUAGCAUACAUCAUGCUUCGGUAAAAAUAAUUCAGUGACUAGGAGGCUUAUAGUGUCAGUGAGGAAAUCCGUUCCCGAUGCCUCUUAUCCUUAAGCUUUUUUUCAGCAAAAGAGGGAUUUCCCCCUUCGAUUUCAUAUAAAGAAAUCAAGAUCCAGUUCAGACAGAUUCGUCUCACUUCCGAACAUAGCUAGACUAAUCAACACAGCACUUACUACCAAGUCUCUUGCAGGGAAGCGAGAAAGGCAACAGCAAAGCCCACCAAACUAAGAUAAAAGCUACGUAGAAUACGCAAAACGCCUGCCAGAGGACGAAGACCAGUACUGCUAUGGCCCUUCCAGUCUAGGGACGCGCAGCCUCCACCCCUGCGCGGCACGGUACACUUCCUUUGCGACUUGUUCUACCAUCCUUGCUUCCAACACCUCCCAUCCUUAAGCUAACAUGAACAAAUGAAGACAAUGGAAACAUUAGGUGAUGUGGCUCUCGUUUCUCUUAUUGCGAUCAUAGACUUUUUUUUUCUCUAAUUGUGUUCUCUUCUGUUCUCCUUUUCUUUGUGUUUCUCUCAUGUUCUCCUUUUCUUAUUGUUUCGUUGUUGCAUGUUUGGACGCUUAUACAGCGAAGAUGGGGAUAUAUAGACAUAGGAAAUGUGAAGAAUUAGGUGCCAAGCAAUCAAUAAUGUAUUGGCAUAGCCGUACAUAGUAGGUGGUAUUAUUUCUUAGAGAUGGCACUAGUUGGAAGAAUUAAGAACCUAGCAGCAUGUGUCCAUGACAACGAGGCGGCCGGUGAGCCGUGAGGGCGAGACCUCUUCGAUCUCAAAGUCAAGGGUGUGGAGCAGCGCGUCCAGCCCCGCCGUCUUGGUGCUCGGCGGGGCCGGGGUUGUGGCGUCCCCCAUGGCUAACUAGCCGAGACGUGGUAGGGGAAAGGUCUAUGUGCGGGUUCUAUGCACGGGUGCGUGUGUGUGUGGUUGCGGGUGAGGAACUCGGAAUGGGUCAGGGUCGUGUAUGUAUGGACUUUUUGGAAGUUAUUAGUAUAGCUGAGCGUCACUGGCACGAUUGAGGCCGGGAGAAUUUGGUGAGAGACGUGGAGCAAUAAGGAGUUGUUUGGUUCCUAGUCACAUCUUUCACGCUACGUCAAGGAAAAGUGUGGUUAAGAUUUUGAACAACCAAGAUAAGACAAGUAAACCAAAAACAGUAUGGUAAACAGUAACAAAAUUAGUCACCAACCAAUUAAGUCAUUAGUACUUUUUUGUAUUUUGGAGCCACCACCACCAGAUAGUGAGAGUACACCAGUAUGUACCUACAAUUAAGUGAUUCUUUGUUGCAAACACGAAUCCAAUAAACGAAAGAACUAUAUCGACUAUGCUGCAUUGCUACCCGCAAAAAAGGAAAGGACAAUGCAUUGCUAGGGUGUAUGUUUUCUCUUAGAGAACACCACAAGUUAGUCUAAUUUUGGAUAACUGUGCAAAAAUCCUUUCCUUGAUGCCUCCCAUCCUUAAGCCAACAUGGAUAAAUGAAUACAACAUAAACAUUAGGUGAUGCUACUCAGAUCUCUCUUAUUGCGACCGUCGAUUUUUCUCUAUAUGCGUUUCUCUCUUGCUCUCCUUUUCUUAUUGGUCCGGUGCUUCAUCUUUGGAUACUUUAUAUAGCAAAGGUGGGAAUAUAUAGGCAUAAAAAAGUGCAAAAUUAGGUGUCAAGCAAGCAAUAUUGUAUUCAUACAUAGUAGGUGGUAUUAUCGCUUAGAGAUGGCAUAUGAGUUACUGCAAAUAAAAAGGAAAGAAAUAAAAAAACAAGAUAAUACAUGACUUGAAAAAUAUUUAUUGACUUCUGGAUUUAUAGUGUUAGGACCUCUUUGGAUCACAUGUUUGAGAAACAUAGGACUAUUAAAUCACAAGAAUCUGACAAAGCUUGCAAGUGCAAAACAAAGAAUUGUGAAAGGGCACAAUUUUGCAAUAUUUGUCGUUUGGA
RNAcentral lists this long non-coding RNA (2831 nucleotides) under Triticum aestivum (bread wheat). RNAcentral's name for it is "long non-coding RNA (TAES_LNC002709)". The record is from RNAcentral. Lineage: Eukaryota; Viridiplantae; Streptophyta; Magnoliopsida; Poales; Poaceae.